RNAcentral lists this ribosomal RNA (253 nucleotides) under uncultured bacterium. RNAcentral describes it as "partial 16S ribosomal RNA". It matches the Rfam family "Bacterial small subunit ribosomal RNA", at positions 524 to 776 of the family's 1533-position model. The record is from RNAcentral.
UACGUAGGGGGCAAGCGUUGUCCGGAUUUAUUGGGCGUAAAGAGCGUGUAGGCGGCCAGGUAGGUCUGCUGUGAAAACUCGAGGCUUAACCUCGAGAUGUCGGCGGAAGCCAUCUGGCUAGAGUCCGGAAGAGGAGAAUGGAAUUCCCGGUGUAGCGGUGAAAUGCGCAGAUAUCGGGAAGAACACCCGUGGCGAAGGCGGUUCUCUGGGACGGUACUGACGCUGAGACGCGAAAGCGUGGGGAGCGAACAGG